Molecule: ribosomal RNA, 489 nt
Filed under: uncultured bacterium
Lineage: Bacteria
Description: bacterial SSU rRNA
Rfam family: Bacterial small subunit ribosomal RNA
Source: RNAcentral
ACGCUGGCGGCGUGCCUAACACAUGCAAGUCGAGCGGAGAUGAUGUGAGGAAGUUUUCGGAUGGAAUCACAUUAUUUUAGCGGCGGACGGGUGAGUAACGCGUGAGCGACCAACCUUGCACAGGGGGAUAACGGACCGAAAGGUUCACUAAUACCGCAUGAGACCACGGUGUUGCAUGACACAGGGGUCAAAGGAGCAAUCCGGUGCAAGACGGGCUCGCGUCCGACUAGGUAGUUGGUGGGGUAAUGGCCCACCAAGCCUAUGAUCGGUAGCCGACCUGAGAGGGUGAUCGGCCACAUUGGAACUGAGAUACGGUCCAAACUCCUACGGGAGGCAGCAGUGGGGAAUAUUGGGCCAAUGGGGGAAACCCUGACCCAGCAACGCCGCGUGAAGGAAGAAGGUUUUCGGAUUGUAAACUUCUGUCCUUGGUGAAGAGAAGAAGACGGUAGCCAAGGAGGAAGCCCCGGCUAACUACGUGCCAGCCGCCGC